RNAcentral lists this transfer RNA (69 nucleotides) under Loxopholis percarinatum. Its description in RNAcentral is "tRNA-Gln". The record is from RNAcentral. Lineage: Eukaryota; Metazoa; Chordata; Lepidosauria; Squamata; Gymnophthalmidae.
AGCAUAGUCAGCUAACCUAAGCUCUUGGGCCCAUACCCCAAAAAUGUUGGCCAAAACCAACCCAUGCUA